CCGGCUCCAGCGGCUCAACUUUCCUGCGGUGCUCUAAACGGUUUAUCAUCCCAGAUCAUAAACCCCGGCUUCCGUCCAUCCUCCCUUAGCGGCUUCCUGUCCAGCUGGGCCUUGCUCGUCUUUGGGGGAGGCACUCGCCUCCUCAGUUUCCCACUGCUUGAAAGUAAAAUAAAUGAAGCCCAAACCCCGAUCACCCGGCGGCGUGCAGUCCGGUGCCGGUCCCCCCUGGUCCCCGGAAGAGCCCCCCGCGGACUCCGCCUGGCCGGCCAGGCCCGCCCCCCGGCCGCCGUGAACACCCGGAGGAGCGGACUCGGGUCGCGCGGGAAACCGGGCCGGCUCGGGCCGCGGACUGGGCAUGCUCGUCAGCCCGGGAGGCUCGCGGUGGCAAGUCGGAAGCGUUCGCACCAGCGAGGCAGCGGCCGGGGCAGCGGCGGCGGUCAGGACGGGAGUGGGAAGGGCCGGUCCGGUCAGGUUGCUAGUCCCUUGCUCCUGGCAGGCCGACCCAAGAGCGCGAUCCCGUGCAGAGCCCGGACGCUGCCCUGCCCCGGAUUUCGUUCCGCGGCUGGGGGAUCGGCGAGCGGAAUUCCGGGCGGCUGCAGAGACUCCGUUGCAAGGCGAAGAAGGCAGCAUGAGCGACCCCUGAAUGUGCAUUUGGGCAUAUUUAACCAUUUGGUUUUGAGUAGGAGAAAGAAGACGGCCAUCCCUGUGAAAGGCAAAGCUUCAGUGCCCGAGGAGGUUGUGGAUUUUGAGUAUCAAGAACAGUGA
RNAcentral lists this long non-coding RNA (765 nucleotides) under Urocitellus parryii (Arctic ground squirrel). RNAcentral's name for it is "lncRNA (ENSUPAG00010021455.1)". The record is from RNAcentral. Lineage: Eukaryota; Metazoa; Chordata; Mammalia; Rodentia; Sciuridae.